UAUUAUUAACAAAUCAAAAAGAAAAAGCUAUCAUUUUUCUCUUCUCCUUCACCGAAAUAUGCAGCAAAGAAAGGGCUUUGAAGCUGGAAAAUUUCAGCAACAUAUUUCCCUUGCUUGUAAGUGAUUUUAAUGUCUUUGCUUGAUGAUUUUUACAUUUUUGGAACCCCUAAAGCAUGAGCUUUCAUGUGAGGGGUCUAUUUUGCAAAAUGAUGAAGAGUCUAGGGUUUUGCCAUGAGAGUAAAUGUGUUGUUUUCUGUGUUUUUAUGGAAGAUUAUGAGUCCUAGUUGUCUAAUAAACAACUUUUGUGAAAGAAAUUGCAUGAAAACACCUUAAAAAAGGCUAGAUUGCUAAGUUGUAAAAUGAGUUGUAAAUGUGUGAAAUAGUUGAAAUUAUGAGUUGCUAUAGUUAUGAAAAUGGUUCAUCUAGACUCAAGGAGUAAAGGAAUGUGAUAAAAAUUAUUUUACGAGCCUAGGGGUAAUUUGGUAAUUUUGGCAAAAUAUAGGAGCAAAACUGUAAAAAUUGCCCAAGUGUGUCAAUGGACUAAUUUGAUCAGUACAUUGUUUUAAUAAGUUGAAUGUGAUAUUUUAGAUGAUGAAAAUCGAGAUUUGGACCUAGAACGGAAAGAAAUCGAUUAAGGGAUAAUUACGUCUUUUUUUUCACCUUUGUGGUAUCGAGGUAAGUUCAUGUGUAAAUAAUGUAGCAUAAUUGUUAUUUUUAAGUUAUUGAUGUUAAAUAUAUGAUAUGCUGGUUUCUAUCAUGAAAUAUAUGCUUUGUGGUUAUUUUCGAAUAAAAUGCAAGUUAUGUGUAUUAUCUGUUAAAUAUAAAGUGCUACCGAGUAUUGGUUUCGGUAUUUUACGGAAGAUGGCAAGGAGAUGUGUUCGAGGAAAAUCCCGUUUGAACCUUAGGAAUAGAUUAGGAUACAAGUGACAUGUCACUAGGAUGGUUGAGCAUCCGAACUCGUUGAGUUGAGUCCGAGUUCACUUAUGGAUGCGAAUGUUCGAACUCGUUGAGUUGAGUCCGAGUUCGUGAGAUGUAACUAGGCAUCCGAGCUCGUUGAGUUGAGUCCGAGUUCACUUAUGGAUGCGAACGCCCGAGCUCAUUGAGUUGAGUCCGAGUUCACUUAUGGGCGGGUUACAUGGUAGCUUGGCUACAUAUGUGGCACUUAUGUGCAAACUUUCCAUGUAUCCGAAUUAUAUUCCGAUGUGUUCAACGGGUAAAAUUCUACUCAAAUGGAGGAAUACUCGAGAUGAAAGGGACGUAUUGGUAAAUGUUGUGAAAUGGAUACUUUGAACAGGUAUGUACUUAACCCUCGGGUUGAAAACUUGACAUAACAACAAUAUGGUAAGAUGAUAAAUGAAAAUGUGAUAUGAAUGUCUCGGUGAUGAUUAUACAAACGAUGUUGUAUUAAUUUUGUGAACAAUGAUCGUGAAUGAGUAAUUUAGCCUUGACAGAUUUGAGUUACUGCAGUAGUGUAACUUUGAAAAUACACUAAAAAUAGUGAAAAAUGAGUUAGAGGCAGAAUAAAAUAUGGGAUUAAAGCUUAAUGAGUCUAUUUUCACAUGAAAGAAACAGGGGAAGAAAAAGAAUUCCAUAUUGUGUGAUAUUUGAAUUCUUGUGAAACAGGGUCUGAAUGAAUUCGAGAUCCCCUGUUCUGACUUUAGAAAUUCACCAAAAAUUGUAAAAAAAUUAUUAAGAGUCAUACCUUACAUUCAUGGAUUCCUUAUUGAGUCUAUUUUUAGGGGAAAUAAACUCCAUGGUCGUUGGAAUUUGUACAGGGAGAAAUUCGGUUUGUAGUGCACAGGGGUCAGAGUGGUCAUACCCUGAAAUAGGGGAGACUUUAACUAAUAAACUGUACUAAUUGGCCCAACCAAAAAUUCUAGAAAAAAAUUAGUAAGUAGAAAUAUGAGUCUAGUUUCAAGAGAAAUAGACAAGAACAUUAUUCGAGUCUUGUACUAUGAGAUAAUUGAAUUUUAGUAUAGAAGGGUCGGAACUGUCAGACAGUGAAUCAGGGGUAAAUUUGAGGAAUAAACUGUACUAUUUGGCUUAACCAAAAAUUCUGAAAAUUUUAUGGAAGAAAUGAAAAUAAGUCUAGUUUCAGGGAAAAUUAACAGAACUUAAUUCGGAGUUUCGUAGCUCCAGAUAUAAAUAAUUUAGUGACCGUUGCUCAGAAAGACAACUUGUAGUGAACUUGAGAAUAUGUUGUAAACAUUGAUAAAAUAAGUUAAUGGGUGCUUAUUGUUUUCAUAUGAACUUACUAAGCGAAAGCUUACCCCCCUCUUCUUUCCCAUGUUUUCUAGGGUUUCCAGGUUAGCUCUGGCUGGAGACCGUCAGAGAUAUUAUCACACUGUCAAGCUAACGCUAUUGGUGUAGUGAUUUCAAGUACUUUGAGCCUAUGGCAUGUAUAGGAGUUUAAAUAUUAGAGUAUGUGAUAUGGCUUUAACCAUAUGUGUUGGCCUAUUUUGAUUAUGGGGUUGUAAAUCUAUUUUAAUUAUGCAUGCAUGUGCUAUGGUAUUAUGUGAUGAGUUUAUAAUGAUUAUAGUAUGAAUGUGGUAAAGAUGUGAGUAAAAUCCAUGAUAUCUAUUGCAUGUGAAAUUGCCAUAAUCAUGACAUGUUAGGAAUGUUUAAGUACCUAAUUUUGCCAUGUUGUAUGUUAUUGUAUAAGUAUGCGUGUAUCUAUUGUGAGUGUGACAAAAUGACUUGGAAAAUAGCCUUGUAUUUGUCCAG
This 2724-nucleotide long non-coding RNA is filed under the name Gossypium barbadense (sea-island cotton). RNAcentral describes it as "long non-coding RNA (GBAR_LNC011680)". Lineage: Eukaryota; Viridiplantae; Streptophyta; Magnoliopsida; Malvales; Malvaceae. The record is from RNAcentral.